This 254-nucleotide ribosomal RNA is filed under the name uncultured bacterium. RNAcentral describes it as "partial 16S ribosomal RNA". It matches the Rfam family "Bacterial small subunit ribosomal RNA", at positions 524 to 776 of the family's 1533-position model. The record is from RNAcentral.
UACGUAGGGCGCAAGCGUUUGUCCGGAAUUAUUGGGCGUAAAGAGCUCGUAGGCGGCUUGUCGCGUCGAUUGUGAAAGCCCGGGGCUUAACUCCGGGUCUGCAGUCGAUACGGGCAGGCUAGAGUGUGGUAGGGGAGAUCGGAAUUCCUGGUGUAGCGGUGAAAUGCGCAGAUAUCAGGAGGAACACCGGUGGCGAAGGCGGAUCUCUGGGCCAUUACUGACGCUGAGGAGCGAAAGCGUGGGGAGCGAACAGG